RNAcentral lists this ribosomal RNA (465 nucleotides) under uncultured bacterium. RNAcentral describes it as "partial 16S ribosomal RNA". It matches the Rfam family "Bacterial small subunit ribosomal RNA", at positions 338 to 795 of the family's 1533-position model. The record is from RNAcentral.
CCUACGGGUGGCUGCAGUGGGGAAUAUUGCGCAAUGGGCGAAAGCCUGACGCAGCGACGCCGCGUGAGGGAUGAAGGUCUUCGGAUCGUAAACCUCUGUCAGCAGGGAAGAACGGUCACUGUGCUAAUCAGCAGUGAAUUGACGGUACCUGCAAAGGAAGCACCGGCUAACUCCGUGCCAGCAGCCGCGGUAAUACGGAGGGUGCGAGCGUUAACCGGAAUUACUGGACGUAAAGCGCUCGUAGGCGGUAUGUCAAGUCAAGGGUGAAAUCCCCGCGCUCAACGUGGGAACUGCCAUUGAAACUGGCAGACUGGAGUGUAGGAGAGGAUAGUGGAAUUCCAGGUGUAGGAGUGAAAUCCGUAGAUAUCUGGAGGAACAUCAGUGGCGAAGGCGACUAUCUGGCACAUAACUGACACUGAGGAGCGAAAGCGUGGGUAGCAAACAGGAUUAGAUACCCUUGUAGUC